GAAGCCAUGCAUGCCCGCUCACCCGGGACGCGGCGGACGGCUCAGGACGACGGUUGCACCCCCCGCGGCGGUCCCUGCUAGCCGGACAGGGCUGGCAACCCGGCGCCAAGACGUGCGCGCAAGGGC
RNAcentral lists this ribosomal RNA (126 nucleotides) under Giardia duodenalis. RNAcentral describes it as "Giardia intestinalis partial small subunit ribosomal RNA". Lineage: Eukaryota; Fornicata; Diplomonadida; Hexamitidae. The record is from RNAcentral.